UACGUAGGUCCCGAGCGUUGUCCGGAUUUAUUGGGCGUAAAGCGAGCGCAGGUGGUUUAUUAAGUCUGGUGUAAAAGGCGGUGGCUCAACCAUUGUAUGCAUUGGAAACUGGUAGACUUGAGUGCAGGAGAGGAGAGUGGAAUUCCAUGUGUAGCGGUGAAAUGCGUAGAUAUAUGGAGGAACACCGGUGGCGAAAGCGGCUCUCUGACCUGUAACUGACACUGAGGCUCGAAAGCGUGGGGAGCAAACAGG
Molecule: ribosomal RNA, 252 nt
Filed under: uncultured bacterium
Lineage: Bacteria
Description: partial 16S ribosomal RNA
Rfam family: Bacterial small subunit ribosomal RNA
Source: RNAcentral